CUGAGUAUUUCCUCAACCCUUCCGCAGCCCGGGGGACUGGGGACACACCCCUCUGGUACACUCAGAUGACGGAUCGCCUGGGAGAGAAUGUCAGUGCUGUGGCCGUGUGGGAUGCCUUGAGUGAGCAGACCAGAGCCCUCGUGGAGGAAGUGGAGGCAGACUCUUACCAGGCGAAGAGCAGAGGAGAGGAGUCCAGUAAGUGUCUUCGCCAUCUGUCCGGAGUGAAGCUGAUGUUCCGCCACGCCAAGCACCACGCGGC
Engraulis encrasicolus (European anchovy) is the source of this 259-nucleotide long non-coding RNA. RefSeq lists it as uncharacterized. Lineage: Eukaryota; Metazoa; Chordata; Actinopteri; Clupeiformes; Engraulidae. The record is from RefSeq and is a predicted model, not a curated record. The transcript is spliced from 3 exons.